GCCUUAGUAGCGGCGAGUGAAGCGGCAAAAGCUCAAAUUUGAAAUCUGGCACUUUCAGUGUCCGAGUUGUAAUUUGAAGAAGGUAUCUUUGGGUCUGGCUCUUGUCUAUGUUUCUUGGAACAGAACGUCACAGAGGGUGAGAAUCCCGUGCGAUGAGAUGACCCAGACCUAUGUAAAGUUCCUUCGAAGAGUCGAGUUGUUUGGGAAUGCAGCUCUAAGUGGGUGGUAAAUUCCAUCUAAAGCUAAAUAUUGGCGAGAGACCGAUAGCGAACAAGUACAGUGAUGGAAAGAUGAAAAGAACUUUGAAAAGAGAGUGAAAAAGUACGUGAAAUUGUUGAAAGGGAAGGGCUUGAGAUCAGACUUGGUAUUUUGUAUGUUACUCUUUCGGGGGUGGCCUCUACAGUUUACCGGGCCAGCAUCAGUUUGGGCGGUAGGAGAAUUGCAAAGAAAUGUGGCACUGCUUCGGUAGUGUGUUAUAGUCUUUGUCGAUACUGCCAGCCUAGACUGAGGACUGCGGCUUCGGCCUAGGAUGUUGGCAUAAUGAUCUUAAGUCGCCCGUCUUG
RNAcentral lists this ribosomal RNA (563 nucleotides) under Lodderomyces metapsilosis. RNAcentral's name for it is "Candida metapsilosis partial large subunit ribosomal RNA". It matches the Rfam family "Eukaryotic large subunit ribosomal RNA", at positions 77 to 656 of the family's 3401-position model. The record is from RNAcentral. Lineage: Eukaryota; Fungi; Ascomycota; Pichiomycetes; Serinales; Debaryomycetaceae.